GCGAACGCUGGCGGCAGGCUUAACACAUGCAAGUCGAGCGGGCACUUUCGGGUGUCAGCGGCGGACGGGUGAGUAACGCGUGGGAACGUGCCCUCUGGUUCGGAAUAACUCAGGGAAACUUGAGCUAAUACCGGAUACGCCCUUUUGGGGAAAGGCUUGCCGCCGGAGGAUCGGCCCGCGUCUGAUUAGCUAGUUGGUGAGGUAACGGCUCACCAAGGCGACGAUCAGUAGCUGGUCUGAGAGGAUGAUCAGCCACACUGGGACUGAGACACGGCCCAGACUCCUACGGGAGGCAGCAGUGGGGAAUAUUGGACAAUGGGCGCAAGCCUGAUCCAGCCAUGCCGCGUGAGUGAUGAAGGCCUUAGGGUCGUAAAGCUCUUUUAUCCGGGACGAUAAUGACGGUACCGGAGGAAUAAGCCCCGGCUAACUUCGUG
RNAcentral lists this ribosomal RNA (434 nucleotides) under uncultured bacterium. RNAcentral describes it as "partial 16S ribosomal RNA". It matches the Rfam family "Bacterial small subunit ribosomal RNA", at positions 29 to 507 of the family's 1533-position model. The record is from RNAcentral.